UACGUAGGGUGCGAGCGUUAAUCGGAAUUACUGGGCGUAAAGCGUGCGCAGGCGGUGAUGUAAGACCGAUGUGAAAUCCCCGGGCUUAACCUGGGAACUGCAUUGGUGACUGCAUUGCUGGAGUAUGGCAGAGGGGGGUGGAAUUCCACGUGUAGCAGUGAAAUGCGUAGAGAUGUGGAGGAAUACCAAAGGCGAAGGCACUCUUCUGGGAAGUUCCUGACGCUCAGGUGCGAAAGCUGAGGGGAGCGAACGGGG
RNAcentral lists this ribosomal RNA (255 nucleotides) under uncultured bacterium. RNAcentral describes it as "partial 16S ribosomal RNA". It matches the Rfam family "Bacterial small subunit ribosomal RNA", at positions 524 to 777 of the family's 1533-position model. The record is from RNAcentral.